CGCGGCCUAUCAGCUUGUUGGUGAGGUAAUGGCUCACCAAGGCGACGACGGGUAGCCGGCCUGAGAGGGCGACCGGCCACACUGGGACUGAGAUACGGCCCAGACUCCUACGGGAGGCAGCAGUGGGGAAUAUUGCACAAUGGGCGAAAGCCUGAUGCAGCGACGCCGCGUGAGGGAUGGAGGCCUUCGGGUUGUAAACCUCUUUCAGCAGGGAAGAAGUGGCCGGGUUUUCUUGGUUGUGACGGUACCUGCAGAAGAAGCGCCGGCUAACUACGUGCCAGCAGCCGCGGUAAUACGUAGGGCGCAAGCGUUGUCCGGAAUUAUUGGGCGUAAAGAGCUCGUAGGCGGUUUGUCGCGUCUGCUGUGAAAACUCGAGGCUCAACCUCGGGCUUGCAGUGGGUACGGGCAGACUAGAGUGCGGUAGGGGAGACUGGAAUUCCUGGUGUAGCGGUGGAAUGCGCAGAUAUCAGGAGGAACACCGAUGGCGAAGGCAGGUCUCUGGGCCGCAACUGACGCUGAGGAGCGAAAGCAUGGGGAGCGAACAGGAUUAGAUACCCUGGUAGUCCAUGCCGUAAACGUUGGGCACUAGGUGUGGGGCUCAUUCCACGAGUUCCGUGCCGCAGCUAACGCAUUAAGUGCCCCGCCUGGGGAGUACGG
This 657-nucleotide ribosomal RNA is filed under the name uncultured bacterium. RNAcentral describes it as "bacterial SSU rRNA". It matches the Rfam family "Bacterial small subunit ribosomal RNA", at positions 232 to 885 of the family's 1533-position model. The record is from RNAcentral.